AUUCUUGCGCAAGGGUGUUAGAUGUGUCAUUAAGGAUUCGUCCAAGACCACCUUAGUAGUAGUUGAAAACUAUACAACGGCCAGCUUCCAGCUGGCCUUCAUGCCGGCUGGAGGAUUUUGGGAGCGCAUUACCCUCCCUCAUUUGGUAUCUUUCAUUGUGC
Molecule: small nuclear RNA, 161 nt
Filed under: Pseudomassariella vexata
Lineage: Eukaryota; Fungi; Ascomycota; Sordariomycetes; Amphisphaeriales; Pseudomassariaceae
Description: U4 spliceosomal RNA
Rfam family: U4 spliceosomal RNA (bases 1-137)
About the family: U4 small nuclear RNA (U4 snRNA) is a component of the major U2-dependent spliceosome. The structure of U4 snRNA from yeast and human has been reported.
Source: Rfam by way of RNAcentral